UUGGCUGGCGGUGGCCGGCGCGGGAGGGGGGGGGACAAGGAGCAUCAGUUGCAUUUCAAACAUUGUGGUGGUCGGAUGUACUCGCUCCAACACAGUGACACUCCAUGUACAAGGUAGACUGAAUCUACUGCAAGGCAUCAUGGACCGGUUUCAUACAUAUGCAUCUCUGGUUGGCUGGCAUAAGCAUGAUCCUGUGAGCUAGUGUUACUCCUGGCAACUACUUUUGACUAGUUCUUCCUGUGAAACAGCUGUCUUUCAAAGAUGCCGAGGUCAUGCUGUGUGCCAGGAUGCAAGUCCAACUAUAAAUCUGCAGAUGCCUCUGCGUUCAGUUUCCCUAAAGAUGAACAGCGACGGCAGCAGUGGAUGAGGGCUAUCCACAGGAAAGACUUUACUCCAACAGAAAAUACAAUUGUUUGUUCCAAGCACUUCCAAAAACGUUUCAUCAUUACAGAAGACAGUAUGACACGCGCUGAUGGAACUGUAGUAACAGCAAAGAGAGGCAGGCCAUCUCUACAUAAAGAUGCUUGUCCAACCAUCUUUGAAAACCAGCCCAAGUAUAUGUCCAAGGAAAUACCAGCUCCUCGCACCACUCCACAGGAAAGGAGAGACAAGCUAAUUGAACGUGAUGAAAUGGUGUUCAGUGAUUGGAUUGAGAAAGACCAAAUAAACAGCUUUAAAGAAUUUUGU
Molecule: long non-coding RNA, 687 nt
Organism: Eriocheir sinensis (Chinese mitten crab)
Lineage: Eukaryota; Metazoa; Arthropoda; Malacostraca; Decapoda; Varunidae
Exons: 3
Source: RefSeq, a predicted model, not a curated record